UAGUAGGUCUGGCCUGCCCAGUGAUAAAAUUUAACGGCCGCGGUAUAUUGACCGUGCAAAGGUAGCAUAAUCAUUAGUCUUUUAAUAGAAGGCUGGAAUGAAAGGUUUAACGAGAAAUUAACUGUCUCAAUUACAAACUUGAAUUUAUCUUUUGAGUCAAAAGACUUAAAUAUCAUUGUGGGACGAGAAGACCCUAUAGAGCUUAACAAUCUUUUUUUUUAUAUUUAUUUAGUUAAAUUAUUUAUAUAUAUAUUGAAAAAAUUGUUUUGUUGGGGUGACAAUAAAUAUAUAUUUAACUUUUAUCAUAAUAUAAACAUUAAUUUAUGAUUUUUGGAUCCAAAAAUUUUGAUCAAUAGAUUAAGUUACCUUAGGGAUAACAGCGUAAUCUUCCCUCAGAGUUCAUAUUUACGGGAAGGCUUGCGACCUCG
RNAcentral lists this ribosomal RNA (428 nucleotides) under Ischnura gemina x Ischnura denticollis. Its description in RNAcentral is "partial 16S ribosomal RNA". It matches the Rfam family "Bacterial large subunit ribosomal RNA", at positions 1846 to 2528 of the family's 2925-position model. The record is from RNAcentral. Lineage: Eukaryota; Metazoa; Arthropoda; Insecta; Odonata; Coenagrionidae.